This 447-nucleotide ribosomal RNA is filed under the name uncultured bacterium. RNAcentral's name for it is "partial 16S ribosomal RNA". It matches the Rfam family "Bacterial small subunit ribosomal RNA", at positions 29 to 523 of the family's 1533-position model. The record is from RNAcentral.
AGCGAACGCUGGCGGCAGGCCUAACACAUGCAAGUCGAACGAUCCUUCGGGAUAGUGGCGGACGGGUGAGUAACACGUGGUAACGUGCCUUUUGGUUCGGAACAACUCAGGGAAACUUGAGCUAAUACCGGAUGUGCCCUUCGGGGGAAAGAUUUAUCGCCAUUUGAGCGGCCCUCGUCUGAUUAGCUAGUUGGUGGGGUAAAGGCCUACCAAGGCGGCGAUCAGUAGCUGGUCUGAGAGGAUGAUCAGCCACAUUGGGACUGAGACACGGCCCAGACUCCUACGGGAGGCAGCAGUGGGGAAUCUUGCGCAAUGGGCGAAAGCCUGACGCAGCCAUGCCGCGUGAAUGAUGAAGGUCUUAGGAUUGUAAAAUUCUUUCACCGGGGACGAUAAUGACGGUACCCGAAGAAGAAGCCCCGGCUAACUUCGUGCCAGCCGCCGCAGUAA